Molecule: ribosomal RNA, 497 nt
Filed under: uncultured bacterium
Lineage: Bacteria
Description: partial 16S ribosomal RNA
Rfam family: Bacterial small subunit ribosomal RNA
Source: RNAcentral
GAUGAACGCUGGCGGCGUGCCUAAUACAUGCAAGUCGAGCGAACGGACGAGAAGCUUGCUUUUCUGAUGUUAGCGGCGGACGGGUGAGUAACACGUGGAUAACCUACCUAUAAGACUGGGAUAACUUCGGGAAACCGGAGCUAAUACCGGAUAAUAUUUUGAACCGCAUGGUUCAAAAGUGAAAGACGGUCUUGCUGUCACUUAUAGAUGGAUCCGCGCUGCAUUAGCUAGUUGGUAAGGUAACGGCUUACCAAGGAAACGAUGCAUAGCCGACCUGAGAGGGUGACCGGCCACACUGGAACUAAGACACGCGCCAGACUCCUACGGGAGGCAGAAGUAGGGAAGCUUCCGCAAUGGGCGAAGGCCUGACGGAGCAACGCCGCGUGAGUGAUGAAGGUCUUCGAAUCGUAAAACUCUAUUAUUAGGGAAGAACAUAUGUGUAAGUACCUGUGCACAUCUUGGCGGUUCCUUAUCAGAAAGCCUGGGCUAACUACGUG